CUGCGCUUCCCAGAACUCCCGUAUUAAUGACCCGGAGCCACAUGACAGAGCAUGACACAGCACUUUUGGGCACAAGGCCGGGCCCAGAGGGGCGCGAGGGGGCUCAGCCCGGCCCCCAGCCUGACCAGCGGCCCAGAGACGGCAGAGCAGUGACACGCAAAGCCCCAGCACUGCGGAGAUCGCAAACACAGAGUCGUCCAAAGGUGUGCUGCGUCCUUCUGGAUCCCACUGCUCCUGCCCCACCGCCCGCUCCCUCUCCCAGCAGCCCUGGGGUCCCCUCCAGCGUGGUGUCUGAGUGGAAUCGUCCAGUGGAUGCUUGCUUGGCCUUCUCUACCUCCACAUCAAAAAGCCCUCUUCACCGCCUUCCUUCAGACUGUGGAGGCCAGGACAGCUGACAGCUGAGAAUGGGGGUGGCUGUGUCCCUCGUGGCUUCACAGGGGUGCAGUCAGCAAGAUGAGGCAGAGCGGUGCCCACACACGGCCUGCAGCUGCCAGGCAGUAAUUAACCCUCACAGCAACCCUCUGAAGUCCACACUCGAGGCAGACAUAUCAUUAAACCCACUUUAAGGGAAGCAGCAGCGGGCCAGUGCCCUUCACCUGAUCAGAGCUCAGGAGAGAUCCUGGAAGGCCCUGGGGCUUUGCUCCCCACCUCCUGCCUCCCAGAGGCACAGGGGCAUGAUUCCAAGCCAGUGGAAGGGAUGGAAUCCUGGGACAUGCCCUUGCCCUCUGCUGGGCCCGUUUCCUCCUUGGUAAAGUGAGGCUGCUAUGCCCACCUUAUAAUUUCUUAUAAUUUUGUCCUGAGCAUAACGCAUGGGACCUGCCUAUGAUCUGCCUCCUCGCCGUCUCCUUGCUUGGCCACACUGAGCUCCUCACUGUUCCCUGAACUCACCAAGCCCCUUCCUACCUCAGGGCCUUUGUAUGUGCAGCACCAUCUACCUGGAAUGUCCUGCCUUCCUAUCUCCCCAGGGCUGGUACCUUCUCAUCUUUUUGGGCUUAAACAUCACCCCCUCAGCGUAGAGAGCACCCCACCAUCCCUCACUCUGCUUUCUUCUUCCUAACAAAGGGAUGCAGGCUUCUCACUCUUUUUCUUCUUUGUGUUGUUCUUGACACCACAGGCAGACUUUAUCUGUCUGAUUGACAGUGCGCUCCCAGAGCUCAGCAGUGUCCAGUAAACAGUAGGUGCUUAAGAAACAACGGCUUCCCUCGCUUCAUUCUUUGCCAGCUCCAAGUCAGCUGGGAGUUGUUUUCCACCUCUCUGGUCCCCCAUUCCCCCUGGAGGACACAGCAGGCACUGGACAUGGGUUACUUGAAAGACUCAGGUAGUUUGAAAUCCGAAGACGUGAGGCUCAUGGUGUCCCUGGGCAGCGGGUAGGUGGGGACUCCAGAAGCCUUUGGUGCAGACGCCCUGUCCCUACCACCUGCCCUCCUUCGCCUCAGGUUUGUGGGCUCGCUCUGGGCAGAUCUCCAGAGCCAUCCCCACCCCCGCACACCUGUCAGCACCCUUGGGGGAAAGAAUCUGGAAAGGGGAGGAAGAAGAAGAAAAGAAAGCAGGGUGCAAAGGGACGGCCCCAACACCUGUGUAAAUAAUUUGUCAUCUUAAGACGCAUCAAGUACACUCACCUUUAGUGCCCGGUCCUUGGGCUUGUUUUCCUUGGCAAGGCCUCCACAGGAGUGGAAUUUCGGCCAAAGGGACCCAAUUGUCGUCUUCUAAGCAUGUUCCCGGGCCAGGGGCCGGGAAAGGCUCUGGCUGACUCUCCACUUCCGUCCGCAGAAGUACCGGAAGGUUCCUGGGAUUUAGGAGCAGCCUCCAGCUCUGGAAGCUGUCCCAGAAUUCUGGAAUGCUGGAAUUUAAACAGCCACCAUCCCAUUUUGCAGAGGAGGAGUAUGAGGCCCAGAGGGGAAGGGAUUGGCCUGUAGUCACAUGACGUGUGAGGCGAACUAGUUCGCUGGUGGAAGGGGACACUGUGGACCCCUUCAUUUCCUGCAGCCCUUGAGGUUUGGGGGAUGCCCAGGCCUCCUGUCUCCAGGGGCGCACAUGUUUUGCUGUAGUGAUUGGGUCAGGAGUGGUCAUGUGACUAAGUUUGCGCAAUGAGAUUCUACCGUGGGGCUUUGGUGCUGGGAUGUUUGAGGAGAUGCCGUUUCCCUUCAGGUUGACGGUGAGCAAGGGAAAACUGCUCAAGAAACCAGCUCAGAGCUGGACAGGGUCUGCAUGCCUGGAUCCAGCCAUACCUGAGAUCACACACUCUUGGCCUAUCUAGUUUCAUAAGCCACUACAUUUCCUGUUUUUGGCAGGAAAGAGUUUGGCCUGGGUUUUUAUCGCUUGCACACAGAAGUUUCUGACUGACCCAUGGCACAGGGGAAGGGGAGAGAUUGCAGGUAGAGGAAAUAGCCUGACAGGGAACACAAAGCAACCAUUUCCAGGGAGGUGUCCCGAAGCAGGGAGAAGAGGAAGAGCUUAGGAAUCUGGCAGGUGGCCGGGGUGGGAGAAAGCACAUGGAACCACAACGUGAAGGUUUGGAAGGGUGAUCGCACGCUGGAAGGCUGUGUCCCAGACUUGUGCAGGGUGACAGAGGACACUGGUGAAAACGGCACCGAGCCCACCGCUGCCCGACAACCACAGCUCAGUGAUGCGCCUCUGUCUAGAGCCGAGCCUGUCCUACCCCCGGCCCUGGCUGAGGCCUCACAGUGCCAUCCUGGACCCCUACAUAUGCUCCUUAUUCGGUCCUGGGCACCAUGAGUGCCACACAGAAUCACUUCAGGGUCCCCCGACACAGUGUAAGAUCGAUCCGGGUCCUGUAGCAGGAAUAAUUCCUGCGGCAAAUCUAUAGCCAUCGUAGUACUUGCUAAACUCUGCUGUGAAAAGAGCAGCCCCAGGCUUGGUCCCCUCGGUGUGCCUGGCUGAUUUCUAGCACCCUGUGCAGAUCUGCAGGAGCUCAGAGCCGGGCAAUCCACAGGCAAACCACAGAGCCACUUUCCCCAGACCCCUGCUCUCAGAGCCCCACCUUCAGAAUCCCCGUAUGGGUUUCAGGUGUUCAGUCUUUCUCUCUGGUCUGUUUUCUGUU
Long non-coding RNA from Fukomys damarensis (Damara mole-rat), 3061 nucleotides. RefSeq lists it as uncharacterized. The transcript has 5 exons. Lineage: Eukaryota; Metazoa; Chordata; Mammalia; Rodentia; Bathyergidae. The record is from RefSeq and is a predicted model, not a curated record.